This 254-nucleotide ribosomal RNA is filed under the name uncultured bacterium. RNAcentral describes it as "partial 16S ribosomal RNA". It matches the Rfam family "Bacterial small subunit ribosomal RNA", at positions 524 to 776 of the family's 1533-position model. The record is from RNAcentral.
UACGUAGGUGGCAAGCGUUGUCCGGAUUUACUGGGCGUAAAGAGCGCGCAGGCGGUCGUUCAAGUCGCGUGUGAAAGCCCCCCGGCUCAACUGGGGAGGGUCACGCGAUACUGAUCGACUCGAAGGCAGGAGAGGGUAGUGGAAUUCCCGGUGUAGUGGUGAAAUGCGUAGAUAUCGGGAGGAACACCAGUGGCGAAGGCGACUACCUGGCCUGUUCUUGACGCUGAGGCGCGAAAGCGUGGGGAGCAAACGGG